Long non-coding RNA from Bufo bufo (common toad), 218 nucleotides. RefSeq lists it as uncharacterized. The record is from RefSeq and is a predicted model, not a curated record. The transcript has 3 exons. NCBI's taxonomy places the organism in Eukaryota, Metazoa, Chordata, Amphibia, Anura, Bufonidae.
CGGACGACGGUGGAACGCACGCCGCACACCACAGAUCAUGAGCGAACACCCAUCCAUACCGUUCCUGUGGACCUUUCUACCCCAAACACGUACAUCCGGCUGUGGUACGAUCUAUCUCCAUAACAGAAAAACCAUCAAACCAAAAGACACAAGAGGCUUGGAAUGUUGCUUGGGCCUUGGCUGCAUGAGAACUAUCCAAUCCAUCUAGAGUCUUCGAC